This 492-nucleotide ribosomal RNA is filed under the name uncultured bacterium. Its description in RNAcentral is "partial 16S ribosomal RNA". It matches the Rfam family "Bacterial small subunit ribosomal RNA", at positions 29 to 507 of the family's 1533-position model. The record is from RNAcentral.
AGUGAACGCUGGCGGUAGGCCUAACACAUGCAAGUCGAACGGCAGCAUAGUAAGAGCUUGCUCUUACGGGUGGCGAGUGGCGGACGGGUGAGGAAUACAUCGGAAUCUACUUUUUCGUGGGGGAUAACGUAGGGAAACUUACGCUAAUACCGCAUACGACCUACGGGUGAAAGCAGGGGAUCUUCGGACCUUGCGCGAUUGAAUGAGCCGAUGUCGGAUUAGCUAGUUGGCGGGGUAAAGGCCCACCAAGGCGACGAUCCGUAGCUGGUCUGAGAGGAUGAUCAGCCACACUGGAACUGAGACACGGUCCAGACUCCUACGGGAAGCAGCAGUGGGGAAUAUUGGACAAUGGGCGCAAGCCUGAUCCAGCCAUACCGCGUGGGUGAAGAAGGCCUUCGGGUUGUAAAGCCCUUUUGUUGGGAAAGAAAAGCAGCAGGUUAAUACCCCGCUGUUCUGACGGUACCCAAAGAAUAAGCACCGGCUAACUUCGUG